AGGGCGUACACACGUGUUACAAUAGGCCGGGCGACAAGGAGGCAGCUACCUGGUGACAGGAUGCUAAUCUACGAAACCGGUCUCAGUUCGGAUCGAAGUCUGCAACUCGACUUCGUGAAGCUGGAUUCGCUAGUAAUCGCGCAUCAGCCAUGGCGCGGUGAAUACGUUCCCGGGCCUU
This 178-nucleotide ribosomal RNA is filed under the name uncultured Sphingobacteriales bacterium. RNAcentral describes it as "partial 16S ribosomal RNA". It matches the Rfam family "Bacterial small subunit ribosomal RNA", at positions 1210 to 1382 of the family's 1533-position model. Lineage: Bacteria; Pseudomonadati; Bacteroidota; Sphingobacteriia; Sphingobacteriales. The record is from RNAcentral.